AAACUGAUCCUAGAAUGUUGAUUAUUCACCACCUCCUUUCAAAAUCCAAAUCAUCUCAUUUAUUUUUUCUUGGAAAGAAAGCAUUUUCCAUUUAGGAAUACUAUAGAUAUACUUGAAAUCAACGAAUCAAUCACGCAAAAAGUAGCAUAAAAAAGAAGACAAAGAUAUAUUCCAUUUUUGAAUUGAAUAUUUCCUUUUUUGGACCCAACUAAUCACUUCCAAACGCGUGUCUAUAAAAAACGAAACCCUCAUUCUCACUCUCUUCAUCAUCACCACCACCCUCUCUCAUCAAACAAACCUUCUAGAUCCGCCAUGGCUUCCUCUAACCAAAACUUCGUCUACAUCGCCAAACUCGCUGAACAAGCCGAACGCUACGAAG
Molecule: long non-coding RNA, 379 nt
Filed under: Trifolium pratense (red clover)
Lineage: Eukaryota; Viridiplantae; Streptophyta; Magnoliopsida; Fabales; Fabaceae
Description: long non-coding RNA (TPRA_LNC014349)
Source: RNAcentral